GAGGGGAUACUCCGGGAAACCGGAGCUAAUACCGGAUAAUAAAGAGAAACGCCUGUUUCUUUUUUGAAAGUCGGUUUCGGCUGACACUUACAGAUGGGCCCGCGGCGCAUUAGCUAGUUGGUGAGGUAACGGCUCACCAAGGCGACGAUGCGUAGCCGACCUGAGAGGGUGAUCGGCCACACUGGGACUGAGACACGGCCCAGACUCCUACGGGAGGCAGCAGUAGGGAAUCUUCGGCAAUGGACGAAAGUCUGACCGAGCAACGCCGCGUGAGCGAUGAAGGCCUUCGGGUCGUAAAGCUCUGUUGUCAGGGAAGAACAAGUACCGGAGUAACUGCCGGUACCUUGACGGUACCUGACCAGAAAGCCACGGCUAACUACGUGCCAGCAGCCGCGGUAAUACGUAGGUGGCAAGCGUUGUCCGGAAUUAUUGGGCGUAAAGCGCGCGCAGGCGGUUCUUUAAGUCUGAUGUGAAAGCCCACGGCUCAACCGUGGAGGGUCAUUGGAAACUGGGGAACUUGAGUGCAGGAGAGAAAAGUGGAAUUCCACGUGUAGCGGUGAAAUGCGUAGAGAUGUGGAGGAACACCAGUGGCGAAGGCGGCUUUUUGGCCUGUAACUGACGCUGAGGCGCGAAAGCGUGGGGAGCAAACAGGAUUAGAUACCCUGGUAGUCCACGCCGUAAACGAUGAGUGCUAGGUGUUGGGGGGUUCCACCCUCAGUGCUGACGUUAACACAUUAAGCACUCCGCCUGGGGAGUACGGCCGCAAGGCUGAAACUCAAAGGAAUUGACGGGGGCCCGCACAAGCAGUGGAGCAUGUGGUUUAAUUNGAAGCAACGCGAAGAACCUUACCAGGUCUUGACAUCCUCUGACCACUUGAGAGAUCAAGCUUUCCCCUUCGGGGGACAGAGUGACAGGUGGUGCAUGGUUGUCGUCAGCUCGUGUCGUGAGAUGUUGGGUUAAGUCCCGCAACGAGCGCAACCCUUGACCUUAGUUGCCAGCAUUCAGUUGGGCACUCUAAGGUGACUGCCGGUGACAAACCGGAGGAAGGUGGGGAUGACGUCAAAUCAUCAUGCCCCUUAUGACCUGGGCUACACACGUGCUACAAUGGGUGGUACAAAGGGUUGCGAAGCCGCGAGGCCGAGCCAAUCCCAAAAAGCCACUCUCAGUUCGGAUUGUAGGCUGCAACUCGCCUACAUGAAGCCGGAAUUGCUAGUAAUCGCGGAUCAGCUGCCGCG
This 1235-nucleotide ribosomal RNA is filed under the name Fictibacillus solisalsi. RNAcentral describes it as "bacterial SSU rRNA". It matches the Rfam family "Bacterial small subunit ribosomal RNA", at positions 137 to 1361 of the family's 1533-position model. The record is from RNAcentral. RNAcentral also lists the same sequence under 1 other name. Lineage: Bacteria; Bacillati; Bacillota; Bacilli; Caryophanales; Fictibacillaceae.